GGGCGGGUAGCGUAGUGGCCAGCGUGUUCCUGAGCGUAUUCAGCGUUGAUUUCCUUCCAUCCAGCGUUCAGCGAGAGGCCUGGGUUCGAGUCCCAGCCUGCCCA
This is a non-coding RNA of Cercophora newfieldiana, 104 nucleotides long. The record is from the annotation of a GenBank genome assembly. NCBI's taxonomy places the organism in Eukaryota, Fungi, Ascomycota, Sordariomycetes, Sordariales, Lasiosphaeriaceae.